Xyrichtys novacula (pearly razorfish) is the source of this 6009-nucleotide non-coding RNA. The record is from the annotation of a GenBank genome assembly. NCBI's taxonomy places the organism in Eukaryota, Metazoa, Chordata, Actinopteri, Labriformes, Labridae.
ACUUGGAGGCCAGUGAGGGCAAAAAUAAAAAGUUAUAAGACUUUUAAAAAUGUGGAUUUUAGGGUUAUCUUUGGCGCCCCCUAGAACCUAAACCGUGGGGUGCAGCGUCAUGAUUUGAAUAACUUUUAAUGGCCAUGGGGUGUAGAUUGGCCUGAGCAAAUGUGGUGCCGGUGGAACGAAAGCCUUCGGAGGAGUUAGCGAAAUUCCAAUGUGUGCGGAUCGGCAAAAAAUGCGAAAUAACCCUUUAACCGUACAUUUGACAGAUACGCCCGCACUGACUUUUUUGUAGAUCUUAUUGAGAUACAUGUGUGUGUCAAUUUUUGUGUCAUUUUGACAAAGCAUACAGGCGUGACAGUCAAUAGUGUGAAUUUUCACCUUAGGGGGCGCUAUGGAGCCAUUUUGCAUUUUCUUGUUUGGGCGACUUCGGAAUAUCAAAUUUUUCACCAGGCCCGGUCGUCCUGCCAAAUUUCAUGAGUUUUCGCCAGUGGGAAGUGGGCCAUUUUCCAGUUCAAAGGGGAGGAAAAAGAAGAAAGAAAGAAACAAAGAAAAACCCCUACAGGAAUAACAGGGCCUACGCCCGGCUGCUCUGCAGCUGGCUCGGGCCCUAAAAAACCUAUACAGGAAUAAUAGGGCUCUACGCCCGGCUGCUCUGCAGCUGGCUCGGGCCCUAACUAGGGCCCCGGUGGGGCACUGUCGGGCCCGAGCCGCGUUGUGCCGCCCCCAGCGUGACCGCCUCCCCCUCCCGAUCGCGUCACACUCAAGGUCCAAAGAUGGUGUGCGCACUUGUCUGUGGUCAUUUCCCAUUAUAAUGAAUGGGAGGCGCAGUUUCUACCAAAACACUCGCUGCAGACAAACUUCAUGUCCUAUUUGAAAAAAGUCUGGACCAUGAGUGAGGGCACAAACACAGCUGGGAUAUAUCCAAAUGGCAGGUUGCUCCUGGAUACGGUGUUGCCUGGAGAGCGAUGCGAUUGAGCCAUUGAGCGAUGGGCAGGAAAAACUUGACUUUUUCUCCUGCCAUGGGGGGGGGGAGAAUGUGGAUUCUUUUAAGAAUGUGGAUUUUUUGGUCAUCUUUGGCGCCCCCUAGAACGUAAACCGUGGGGUGCAGCGUCAUGAUUUUUACAACUUUGAAUGGCCAUGGGGUGUAGAUUGGCCUGAGCAAAUUUAGUUUCAGUGGGACGAAAGCCUUAGGAGGAGUUAGCCACAUUCCAAUGUGUGCGAAUCGGCAAAAAAUGCAAAAUAGCCCUCUAACCGUACAUUUGACAGAUACGCACCCAUUGACUUUUUCGUAGAUCUUAUUGAGAUACACGUGAUUGUCAAAUUUUGUGUCAAUAUGACAAAGCGUACAGGUGUCACACUCAACAAUGUGAAUUUUCACCUUACGGGACAAGAAAAAAUGGACUUUUUUCUCCUGCCAUGGGGGGGCGCUCUUUUAGGGAGUAAAAAUUCCUUCACAAAUGUGUUGAUGGCUGGACAUUGCAUCAUCCUAGAAAACUUGGAGGCCAGUGAGGGCAAAAAUAAAAAGUUAUAAGACUUUUAAAUAUGUGGAUUUUAGGGUUAUCUUUGGCGCCCCCUAGAACCUAAACCGUGGGGUGCAGCGUCAUGAUUUGAAUAACUUUUAAUGGCCAUGGGGUGUAGAUUGGCCUGAGCAAAUGUGGUGCCGGUGGAAAGAAAGCCUUCAGAGGAGUUAGCGAAAUUCCAAUGUGUGCGGAUCUGCAAAAAAUGCGAAAUAACCCUUUAACCGUACAUUUGACAGAUACGCCCGCACUGACUUUUUUGUAGAUCUUAUUGAGAUACAUAUGUGUGUCAAUUUUUGUGUCAUUUUGACAAAGCGUAAAGGCGUGACAGUCAAUAGUGUGAAUUUUCACCUUAGGGGGCGCUAUGGAGCCAUUUUGCAUUUUCUUGUUUGGGCAACUUCGGAAUAUCAAAUUUUUCACCAGGCCCGGUCAUCCUGCCAAAUUUCAUGAGUUUUCGCCAGUGGGAAGUGGGCCAUUUUCCAGUUCAAAGGGGAGGAAAAAGAAGAAAGAAAGAAACAAAGAAAAACCACUUGGGGAAUAAUAGGGCUCUCGCAGCUGCUUAGCAGCUACGCUCGGGCCCUAAAAACCACUUGGGGAAUAAUAGGGCCUACGCCCGGCUGCUCUGCAGCUGGCUCGGGCCCUAAUAAUAACAAAAGAAGGAAACUACAGGAACAAGAGGGCUCUCGCAGCUGCUUAGCAGCUACGCUCGGGCCCUAAAGAAGAAUCCAUCAGGAAUAAUAGGGCUCUCGCAGCUGCUUAGCAGCUACGCUCGGGCCCUAACUAGGGCCCCGGUGGGGCACUGUCGGGCCCGAGCCGCGUCGCGCCGCCCCCAGCGCGACCGCCUCCCCCUCCCGAUUGCAUCACACUCAAGGUCCAAAGAUGGUGUGCGCACUUGUCUGUGGUCAUUUCCCAUUAUAAUGAAUGGGAGGCGCAGUUUCUACCAAAACGGCCGCUGCAGACAAACUACAUGUCCUAUUUGAAAAAAGUCUGGACCAUGAGUGAGGGCACAAACACAGCUAGGAUAUAUCCAAAUGGCAAGUUGCUCCUCCUUACGGUGUUGCCGGGAGAGCGAUGCGAUUGAGCCAUUGAGCGAUGGGCAGGGUUAACUGGACUUUUUCUCCUGCCUUGGGGGGGGGGAUGUGGAUUCUUUUAAGAAUGUGGAUAUUUGGGUCAUCUUUGGCGCCCCCUAGAACGUAAACCAUGGGGUGCAGCGGCAUGAUUUUUACAACUUUGAAUGGCCAUGGGAUGUAGAUCGGCUUGAGCAAAUUUGGUGUCGGUGGGAAGAAAGCCUUAGGAGGAGUUAGCCACAUUCCAAUGUGUGCGAAUCGGCAAAAAAUGCGAAAUAGCCCUUUAACCGUACAUUUUACAGAUACGUGCCCAUUGACUUUUUCGUAGAUCUUAUUGAGAUACACGUGUGUGUCAAAUUUUGUGUCAUUUUGACAAAGCGUAUAGGCGUGACAGUCAACAAUGUGUUUUUUCACCUUAGGGGACAAGAAAAAAUGGACUUUUUUCUCCUGCCAUGGGGGGGCGCCCUUUUCGGGAGUAAAAAUUCCUUUACAAAUGUGUUGAUGGCUGGACAUUGCAUCAUCCUAGAAAACUUGGAGGCCAGUGAGGACAAAAAUAAAAAGUUAUAAGACUAUUAAGAAUGUGGAUUUUGGGUUAUCUUUGGCGCCCCCUAGAACCUAAACCGUGGGGUGCAGCGUCAUGAUUUGUACAACUUUUAAUGGCCAUGGGGUGUAGAUUGGCCUGCGCAAAUGUGGUGCCGGUCGAACUAAAGCCUUCGGAGGAGUUAGCGAAAUUCCAAUGUGUGCAGAUCUGCAAAAAAUGCAAAAUAACCCAUUAACCGUACAUUUGACAGAUACGCCCGCACUGACUUUCUUGUAGAUCUUAUUGAGAUACAUGUGUGUGUCAAUUUUUGUGUCAAUAUGACAAAGCGUACAGCCGUCAUGUGAAUUUUCACCUUAGGGGGCGCUAUGGAGCCAUUUUGCAUUUUAUUGUUUGGGCGACUUCAGAAUAUCGAAUUUUUCACCAGGCCCGGUCGUCCUGCCAAAUUUCCUGAGUUUUCGCCAGUGGGAAGUGGGCCAUUUUCCAGUUUAAAGCGGAGGAAAAAUAAUAACGAAAGAAGGAAACAUGCAGGAACAAGAGGGCUCUCGCAGCUGCUUAGCAGCUACGCUCGGGCCCUAAAGAAAGAAACAAAGACUAGGGCCCCGGUGGGGCACUGUCGGGCCCGAGCGGCGUCGCGCCGCCCCCAGCGCGACCGCCUCCCCCUCCCGAUCGCGUCACACUCAAGGUCCAAAGAUGGUGUGCGCACUUGUCUGUGGUCAUUUACCAUUAUAAUGAAUGGGAGGCACAGUUUCUACCAAAACACUCGCUGCAGACAAACUUCAUGUCCUAUUUGAAAAAAGUCUGGACCAUGAGUGAGGGCACAAACACAGCUAGGAUAUAUCCAAAUGGCAGGUUGCUCCUCCUUACGGUGUUGCCUGGAGAGCGCUGGAUUGAGCCAUUGAGCGAUGGGCAGGAAAAACUUGACUUUUUCUUCUGCCUUGGGGGGGGUGUGUGUGGAUUCUUUUAAGAAUGUGGAUAUUUGGGUCAUCUUUGGCGCCCCCUAGAACGUAAACCGUGGGGUGCAGCGUCAUGAUUUUUACAACUUUGAAUGGCCAUGGGAUGUAGAUCGGCUUGAGCAAAUUUGGUGUCGGUGGGACGAAAGCCUUAGGAGGAGUUAGCCACAUUCCAAUGUGUGCGAAUCGGCAAAAAAUGCAAAAUAGCCCUUUAACCGUACAUUUGACAGAUACGCGCCCAUUGACUUUUUCGUAGAUCUUAUUGAGAUACACGUGAUUGUCAAAUUUUGUGUCAAUAUGACAAAGCGUACAGGUGUCACACUCAACAAUGUGAAUUUUCACCUUAGGGGACAAGAAAAAAUGGACUUUUUUCUCCUGCCAUGGGGGGGCGCUCUUUUGGGGAGUAAAAAAUCCUUCACAAAUGUGUUGAUGGCUGGACAUUGCAUCAUCCUAGAAAACUUGGAGGCCAGUGAGGACAAAAAUAAAAAGUUAUAAGACUUUGAAAUAUGUGGAUUUUAGGGUUAUCUUUGGCGCCCCCUAGAACCUAAACCGUGGGGUGCAGCGUCAUGAUUUGAAUAACUUUGAAUGGCCAUGGGGUGUAGAUUGGCCUGAGCAAAUGUGAUGCCAGUGGAACGAAAGCCUUCGGAGGAGUUAGCGAAAUUCCAAUGUGUGCGGAUCAACAAAAAAUGCGGAAUAACCCUUUAACCAUACAUUUGACAGAUACGCGCGCAUUGACUUUUUCGUAGAUCUUAUUGAGAUACAUGUGUGUGUCAAUUUUUGUGUCAAUAUGAUAAAGCGUACAGGCGUGACAGUCAAUAGUGUCAAUUUCCACCUUAGGGGACAAGAAAAAAUUGACUUUUUUCUCCUGCCAUGGGGGGGCGCUCUUUUGGGGAGUAAAAAUUCCUUCACAAAUGUGUUGAUGGCUGGACAUUGCAUCAUCCUAGAAAACUUGGAGGCCAGUGAGGACAAAAAUAAAAAGUUAUAAGACUUUUAAAUAUGUGGAUUUUAGGAAUAUCUUUGGCGCCCCCUAGAACCUAAACCGUGGGGUGCAGCGUCAUGAUUUGAAUAACUUUUAAUGGCCAUGGGGUGUAGAUUGGCCUGAGCAAAUGUGGUGCCGGUGGAACGAAAGCCUUCGGAGGAGUUAGCGAAAUUCCAAUGUGUGCGGAUCGGCAAAAAAUGCGGAAUAACCCUUUAACUGUAUAUUUGACAGAUACGCGCGCAUUGACUUUUUCGUAGAUCUUAUUGAGAUACAUGUGUGUGUCAAUUUUUGUGUCAUCUUGCCAAAGCGUACAGGUGUUACACUCAACAAUGUGUAUUUUCACCUUAGGGGACAAGAAAAAAUGGACUUUUUUCUCCUGCCAUGGGGGGGCGCUCUUUUGGGGAGUAAAAAUUCCUUCACAAAUGUGUUGAUGGCUGGACAUUGCAUCAUCCUAGAAAACUUGGAGGCCAGUGAGGGCAAAAAUAAAAAGUUAUAAGACUUUUAAAUAUGUGGAUCUUAGGGUUAUCUUUGGCGCCCCCUAGAACCUAAACCGUGGGGUGCAGCGUCAUGAUUUGAAUAACUUUUAAUGGCCAUGGGGUGUAGAUUGGCCUGAGCAAAUGUGGUGCCGGUGGAACGAAAGCCUUCGGAGGAGUUAGCGAAAUUCCAAUGUGUGCGGAUCGGCAAAAAAUGCGAAAUAACCCUUUAACCGUACAUUUGACAGAUACGCCCGCACUGACUUUUUUGUAGAUCUUAUUGAGAUACAUGUGUGUGUCAAUUUUUGUGUCAUUUUGACAAAGCGUACAGGCGUCAGGUGAAUUUUUCACCUUAGGGGGCGCUAUGGAGCCAUUUUGCAUUGUAUUGUUUGGGCGACUUCAGAAUAUCAAAUUUUUCACCAGGCCCGGUCGUCCUGCCAAAUUUCAUGAGUUUUCGCCAGUGGGAAGUGGGCCAUUUUCCAGUU